AACGCACCUUGCGCUCCUUGGCUAUUCCGAGGAGCAUGCCUGUUUGAGUGUCAUUAUAUUCUCAACCCCACCAGCUUUUGUGGCUGGCUCUUGGGGCUUGGAUGUGGAGGUUUUGCUGGCCCUUUGGGUCAGCUCCUCUGAAAUGCAUUAGCGGAACUGUUUGCGAUCCGUCACAGGUGUGAUAAUUAUCUACGCCAGUGGGUUGCUUUCUGUCUGUUCAGCUUAUAAUCGUCCUGUUACUGGACAACUUAUUGAACGUUUGACCUCAAAUCAGGUAGGACUACCCGCUGAACUUAA
RNAcentral lists this unclassified non-coding RNA (297 nucleotides) under uncultured fungus. RNAcentral describes it as "partial contains 5.8S ribosomal RNA, internal transcribed spacer 2, and large subunit ribosomal RNA". Lineage: Eukaryota; Fungi. The record is from RNAcentral.